RNAcentral lists this ribosomal RNA (549 nucleotides) under uncultured Glomus. Its description in RNAcentral is "SSU rRNA". It matches the Rfam family "Eukaryotic small subunit ribosomal RNA", at positions 548 to 1098 of the family's 1831-position model. Lineage: Eukaryota; Fungi; Glomeromycota; Glomeromycetes; Glomerales; Glomeraceae. The record is from RNAcentral.
UUGGAGGGCAAGUCUGGUGCCAGCAGCCGCGGUAAUUCCAGCUCCAAUAGCGUAUAUUAAAGUUGUUGCAGUUAAAAAGCUCGUAGUUGAAUUUCGGGAUCGGUGGGUCGGUCGUGCCUCCGGUACGCACUGUCUUUACCGGUUCCUCCCUUCUGAAGAACCGCGAUGUCAUUAAUUUGGUGUUGCGGGGAAUCAGGACUGUUACUGUGAAAAAAUUAGAGUGUUUAAAGCAGGCUAAAGCUUGAAUACAUUAGCAUGGAAUAAUGAAAUAGGACGUUUGAUCUUAUUUUGUUGGUUUCUAAGAUCGACGUAAUGAUUAAUAGGGAUAGUUGGGGGCAUUAGUAUUCAAUUGUCAGAGGUGAAAUUCUUGGAUUUAUUGAAGACUAACUACUGCGAAAGCAUUUGCCAAGGAUGUUUUCAUUAAUCAAGAACGAAAGUUAGGGGAUCGAAGACGAUCAGAUACCGUCGUAGUCUUAACCAUAAACUAUGCCGACUAGGGAUCGGAUGAUGUUAAUUUUUUAAUGACUCAUUCGGCGCCUUACGGGAAAC